This 373-nucleotide ribosomal RNA is filed under the name uncultured organism. RNAcentral's name for it is "partial 16S ribosomal RNA". It matches the Rfam family "Bacterial small subunit ribosomal RNA", at positions 527 to 896 of the family's 1533-position model. The record is from RNAcentral.
GUAGGUGGCAAGCGUUGUCCGGAAUUAUUGGGCGUAAAGCGCGCGCAGGCGGUUCUUUAAGUCUGAUGUGAAAGCCCACGGCUCAACCGUGGAGGGUCAUUGGAAACUGGAGAACUUGAGUACAGAAGAGGAAAGCGGAAUUCCACGUGUAGCGGUGAAAUGCGUAGAGAUGUGGAGGAACACCAGUGGCGAAGGCGGCUUUCUGGUCUGUAACUGACGCUGAGGCGCGUAAGCGUGGGGAGCAAACAGGAUUAGAUACCCUGGUAGUCCACGCCGUAAACGAUGAGUGCUAAGUGUUAGGGGGGUUUUCCGCCCCCCUUAGUGCUGCAGCUAACGCAUUAAGCACUCCGCCUGGGAUACGGCCGCAAGGCUG